Molecule: ribosomal RNA, 600 nt
Filed under: Bifidobacterium longum
Lineage: Bacteria; Bacillati; Actinomycetota; Actinomycetes; Bifidobacteriales; Bifidobacteriaceae
Description: bacterial SSU rRNA
Rfam family: Bacterial small subunit ribosomal RNA
Source: RNAcentral
AGAGUUUGAUCCUGGCUCAGGAUGAACGCUGGCGGCGUGCUUAACCCAUGCAAGUCGAACGGGAUCCAUCAAGCUUGCUUGGUGGUGAGAGUGGCGAACGGGUGAGUAAUGCGUGACCGACCUGCCCCAUACACCGGAAUAGCUCCUGGAAACGGGUGGUAAUGCCGGAUGCUCCAGUUGAUCGCAUGGUCUUCUGGGAAAGCUUUCGCGGUAUGGGAUGGGGUCGCGUCCUAUCAGCUUGACGGCGGGGUAACGGCCCACCGUGGCUUCGACGGGUAGCCGGCCUGAGAGGGCGACCGGCCACAUUGGGACUGAGAUACGGCCCAGACUCCUACGGGAGGCAGCAGUGGGGAAUAUUGCACAAUGGGCGCAAGCCUGAUGCAGCGACGCCGCGUGAGGGAUGGAGGCCUUCGGGUUGUAAACCUCUUUUAUCGGGGAGCAAGCGAGAGUGAGUUUACCCGUUGAAUAAGCACCGGCUAACUACGUGCCAGCAGCCGCGGUAAUACCUAGGGUGCAAGCGUUAUCCGGAAUUAUUGGGCGUAAAGGGCUCGUAAGCGGUUCGUCGCGUCCGGUGUGAAAGUCCAUCCCUUAACGGUGGAU